Molecule: ribosomal RNA, 497 nt
Filed under: uncultured bacterium
Lineage: Bacteria
Description: partial 16S ribosomal RNA
Rfam family: Bacterial small subunit ribosomal RNA
Source: RNAcentral
GAUGAACGCUGGCGGCGUGCCUAAUACAUGCCAGUCGAGCGAACGGACGAGAAGCUUGCUCCUCUGAUGUUAGCGGCGGACGGGUGAGUAACACGUGGAUAACCUACCUAUAAGACUGGGAUAACUUCGGGAAACCGGAGCUAAUACCGGAUAAUAUUUUGAACCGCAUGGUUCAAUAGUGAAAGACGGUCUUGCUGUCACUUAUAGAUGGAUCCGCGCUGCAUUAGCUAGUUGGUAAGGUAACGGCUUACCAAGGCAACGAUGCAUAGCCGACCUGAGAGGGUGAUCGGCCACACUGGAACUGAGACACGGUCCAGACUCCUACGGGAGGCAGCAGUAGGGAAUCUUCCGCAAUGGGCGAAAGCCUGACGGAGCAACGCCGCGUGAGUGAUGAAGGUCUUCGGAUCGUAAAACUCUGUUAUUAGGGAAGAACAAAUGUGUAAGUAACUGUGCACAUCUUGACGGUACCUAAUCAGAAAGCCACGGCUAACUACGUG